CGAAGGGAGCUAGCGUUGUUCGGAAUCACUGGGCGUAAAGCGCGCGUAGGCGGCUUUGCAAGUCAGGGGUGAAAUCCCACAGCUUAACUGUGGAACUGCCUUUGAAACUGCAAGGCUGGAAUGUGAGAUGGGAUGGCGGAAUUCCUAAUGUAGAGGUGAAAUUCGUAGAUAUUAGGAGGAACACCGGUGGCGAAAGCGGCCAUCUGGAUCACAAUUGACGCUGAAGUGCGAAAGCGUGGGUAGCAAACAGGAUUAGAUACCCUGGUAGUCCACGCCAUAAACGAUGAGUGCUAGCUGUCGGGCCCGUAGGGUUCGGUAGCGCCGCUAACGCAUUAAGCACUCCGCCUGGGGGAGUACGGUCGCAAGAUUA
This 370-nucleotide ribosomal RNA is filed under the name uncultured organism. Its description in RNAcentral is "bacterial SSU rRNA". It matches the Rfam family "Bacterial small subunit ribosomal RNA", at positions 526 to 896 of the family's 1533-position model. The record is from RNAcentral.